Molecule: ribosomal RNA, 312 nt
Filed under: Boophis madagascariensis (Madagascar bright-eyed frog)
Lineage: Eukaryota; Metazoa; Chordata; Amphibia; Anura; Mantellidae
Description: partial 16S ribosomal RNA
Rfam family: Bacterial large subunit ribosomal RNA
Source: RNAcentral
CCCCCUCCAAAUCCUACUAUUUACCCGGUGAUUGUUUGUUUGGUUUUAGGUUGGGGUGACCGCGGAGUAUAAGAUAUCCUCCAUGAAAAAAAGCUAACUGCCCUUAUUAGAGAAAGACACUUCCAAAAAAUAAUAAAUUAAUUUUAAAUGAUCCGACAUUCGAUCAACGAACCAAGUUACCCUGGGGAUAACAGCGCAAUCCGUCCCGAGAGCCCCUAUCGACAGGCGGGUUUACGACCUCGAUGUUGGAUCAGGGUAUCCUAGUGGUGCAGCAGCUACUAAAAGGUUCGUUUGUUCAACGAUUAAAACCCU